CGAUAUGAUAAAAUGUGAACGAUCGAAAUGUUAAAGUUAAAUAAACUUUUGAUUUAUAUAAAAUAAAGUGUUAUUUACUCAAAACUGUCAAAAAAUUCUAUUACUACAGUAUCAGAAGCGGGAUAUGAGCUUGAGUAUUGGUCAUCAAUAAUUAAAAUUAUUUGUGAAAAUCAAAAAUUGAAAAUUUUCUUUAAACGUGCUUGGAUUAAAAAAAGCUGUGUUCUGAAGAAAUGUGAAGACUUUUUUGAAGAUUUUGAUUGAGGCUGCUUGCAAGACGUCUUUCUUGAACCAGGAAUAUAUUUCUGUGUGCCCUGUCAUUAAUCUGUUGUUUUAGAUAUUUGGAGCCAAGAAGUGUGUCCUGAAUAAACAUCAACUAAGUGAUUACAAGAAGACGAGAAUAGUUCAUAAAAAAAACGAAGGGGAAGCGAUCACUUGUAUCAUCUAGCAUCCAGAUAUUCAUAAAUUUAUGAAUGUCCAGAUAUAACAAAUAUACUACAAAAAUCAUAUUUUCUAUAGGCACCUGAUGGUUCCUUCUAAACUGCGGACAGGAUUUCAAAGGAAAUAUAGCCUUUCAUUUUUAAAACGGAAUUUGAAAUACUUUGAAGUUCUUCACAAUUUAAAAUAUUUACCAAUUGCUUUUUCAUCCAGGAAGAUUUUUAUUGCAAAAAACAGAAGAUACUUCAAGGUCAACAUUUCCGCGUCUUCCCGGGACAUAUAUUCCCAGGGGGUAUUCAUUUAGCCUUCCGAUUGUUCAAUGAAAAUAAAAAGAAUUCUACCAUCUGGAGUGGAUUCAACACCUGGUGAUGGAAUAUUGUAUUUGCAAGAUAAUGUUUAUAGUCGUCAACAUUUGUAUUUUUGGUUGUCCAGCGUUGAGUCUUUUUAAAGUUAAAAUAUUCAAGUUUCCAAAAUAUCAAAAGAACUCGAAAUUUGGUUGAUAAGAAGGUUUUAUAAAAUAUGU
This is a long non-coding RNA of Belonocnema kinseyi, 958 nucleotides long. RefSeq lists it as uncharacterized. Lineage: Eukaryota; Metazoa; Arthropoda; Insecta; Hymenoptera; Cynipidae. The transcript has 3 exons. The record is from RefSeq and is a predicted model, not a curated record.